RNAcentral lists this ribosomal RNA (577 nucleotides) under uncultured bacterium. RNAcentral describes it as "bacterial SSU rRNA". It matches the Rfam family "Bacterial small subunit ribosomal RNA", at positions 240 to 809 of the family's 1533-position model. The record is from RNAcentral.
AUUAGCUAGUUGGUGAGGUAACGGCUCACCAAGGCGACGAUGCAUAGCCGACCUGAGAGGGUGAUCGGCCACAUUGGGACUGAGACACGGCCCAAACUCCUACGGGAGGCAGCAGUAGGGAAUCUUCGGCAAUGGACGAAAGUCUGACCGAGCAACGCCGCGUGAGUGAAGAAGGUUUUCGGAUCGUAAAACUCUGUUGUUAGAGAAGAACAAGGAUGAGAGUAACUGUUCAUCCCUUGACGGUAUCUAACCAGAAAGCCACGGCUAACUACGUGCCAGCAGCCGCGGUAAUACGUAGGUGGCAAGCGUUGUCCGGAUUUAUUGGGCGUAAAGCGAGCGCAGGCGGUUUCUUAAGUCUGAUGUGAAAGCCCCCGGCUCAACCGGGGAGGGUCAUUGGAAACUGGGAGACUUGAGUGCAGAAGAGGAGAGUGGAAUUCCAUGUGUAGCGGUGAAAUGCGUAGAUAUAUGGAGGAACACCAGUGGCGAAGGCGGCUCUCUGGUCUGUAACUGACGCUGAGGCUCGAAAGCGUGGGGAGCAAACAGGAUUAGAUACCCUGGUAGUCCACGCCGUAAACGA